GCUGGGCAUGGUGGUGCAUGCCUGUGGUCCCAACUACUUGGGAGGCUGAGGUGGGAGGAUCACUUGAGCCCAGGAAGUCAAGGCUGCAGUGAGCUAUUAUUGUGCCACUACACUCCAGCUUGGGCAACAGAGUGAGACCUUGUUUCAA
Molecule: non-coding RNA, 148 nt
Filed under: Gorilla gorilla gorilla (western lowland gorilla)
Lineage: Eukaryota; Metazoa; Chordata; Mammalia; Primates; Hominidae
Source: Rfam by way of RNAcentral